UGGGGAAUCUUCCGCAAUGGACGAAAGUCUGACGGAGCAACGCCGCGUGAGUGAUGAAGGUCUUCGGAUUGUAAAGCUCUGUUAAUCGGGACGAAAGAGCCUAGUGUGAAUAAUGCUAGGAAGUGACGGUACCGGAAUAGAAAGCCACGGCUAACUACGUGCCAGCAGCCGCGGUAAUACGUAGGUGGCAAGCGUUGUCCGGAAUUAUUGGGCGUAAAGCGCGCGCAGGCGGAUCUGCCAGUCUGUCUUAAAAGUUCGGGGCUUAACCCCGUGAUGGGAUGGAAACUACAGAUCUAGAGUAUCGGAGAGGAAAGUGGAAUUCCUAGUGUAGCGGUGAAAUGCGUAGAUAUUAGGAAGAACACCAGUGGCGAAGGCGACUUUCUGGACGAAAACUGACGCU
Molecule: ribosomal RNA, 400 nt
Filed under: uncultured bacterium
Lineage: Bacteria
Description: bacterial SSU rRNA
Rfam family: Bacterial small subunit ribosomal RNA
Source: RNAcentral